GGGGGGGGGGGGGGGGGGGCGGGGGGGGGGGGGGGGGGGGAACGGGGGGGGAGCUUGGUCCUCUGGCGUUAGGGGCGGGGGGGCGGGUGACACUUGGGGAGCCGACCGGUGAGGCUGUGAUAACGUCGGGGAACCGGGUCUUAUAGCGGCUAAUACGUUGAACCGCCUGGUUCCUUAGUGAAUGACUGUUUGGCUGUCACUUUUAGAUGGACCCGCUGCGCAUUAGCUAGUUUGUAAGGUAACGGCUUACCAAGGCUACGAUGCGUAGCCGACCUGAGAGGGUGAUCGGCCACACGGGAACUGAGACACGGUACAGACUCCUACGGGAGGCAGCAGUCGGGAAUGUACCGCAAUGGGCGAAAGCCUGACGGAGCAACGCGGCGUGAGUGAUGAAGGUCUACGGAUCGUAAAACUCUGUUAUUAGGGAAGAACAAAUGUGUAAGUAACUAUGCACGUCUUGACGUUACCUAAUCAGAACGCCACGGCUAACUACGUG
RNAcentral lists this ribosomal RNA (496 nucleotides) under uncultured bacterium. RNAcentral's name for it is "partial 16S ribosomal RNA". It matches the Rfam family "Bacterial small subunit ribosomal RNA", at positions 27 to 507 of the family's 1533-position model. The record is from RNAcentral.